This 315-nucleotide ribosomal RNA is filed under the name uncultured fungus. RNAcentral describes it as "LSU rRNA". The record is from RNAcentral. Lineage: Eukaryota; Fungi.
UAGACGUGAGGCGUGCGUGAGUUUCGGCCUCGCUGUUUGCAUGUUUGUGCGCUUUGGGUGUACUUUUUCGUAUGGUUGGCCAACAUCAGUUUCGAUUACUAUAAAAUGACUGGCGGAAUGUAGCUUCGAUUUCGGUUGAAGUGUUAUAGCCUCUGGUAGAUGUGGUGAUUGAGACUGAGGAUUGCAACGAAUAUCCUUUGGGCUAUCCGUCUGGCCUCUGAAAGUUGCUUGGGUGCUGAAAGCUUGCUUAUGGUUAUCUAAGUUAACGGUCAAUAGGUUAGAACGUGAUUACAUUCGUUAAGGAUGUUGACGUAA